GGUUAAGGGAAUUGCGAUGGGGAGAUUAUCCUGGAUUCCUCAGAAGAGGUAGCUGAGGCGCAGAAGUUACGGCAGAUCUUUUUACAGGAGGAAAAAGAUUCUCUUUUGAGGAUGAAUGAAUUUCGCCAACUGAAGCUCUUCCUCCCACCCAGACACUGUCAGAUUGUCCUUCCUGACUCUUCUGUGUUGGGGCCUGCUCAUGUGACUACUCCCAGCCAACGAGUUCACCACUGGGUCACAGCAUUUAACUGCCAGUGCAAAGACAGUCCCUCCAGAGCUCUUCCCCACUGGCAAGCAUCCAGGGACCACUAGCUGGGUACCC
Bos taurus (domestic cattle) is the source of this 322-nucleotide long non-coding RNA. Lineage: Eukaryota; Metazoa; Chordata; Mammalia; Artiodactyla; Bovidae. The record is from Ensembl.